This 253-nucleotide ribosomal RNA is filed under the name uncultured bacterium. RNAcentral's name for it is "partial 16S ribosomal RNA". It matches the Rfam family "Bacterial small subunit ribosomal RNA", at positions 524 to 776 of the family's 1533-position model. The record is from RNAcentral.
UACAGAGGGUGCAAGCGUUGUUCGGAAUUACUGGGCGUAAAGAGUGCGUAGGCGGCACUGAGAGUCAUAGGUGAAAUCCCCGAGCUUAACUCGGGAACUGCCUGUGAGACCUCAGUGCUAGAGUACUAAAGGGGCCGGUGGAAUUCCAAGUGUAGCGGUGAAAUGCGUAGAUAUUUGGAGGAACACCUGUGGCGAAGGCGGCCGGCUGGUUAGAUACUGACGCUGAGGCACGAAAGCGUGGGGAGCAAACAGG